CUCCAAUAGCGUAUAUUAAAGUUGUUGCAGUUAAAAAGCUCGUAGUUGAAUUUCGGGAUUGGCGCAUCGGUCGUGCCUCACGGGGUAUGAACUGGUGCAGUCAAUUUCUCACCUUCUGGAGAACCGCGAUGUCCUUAAUUGGAUGCCGCGGGGAACCAGGACCUUUACUUUGAAAAAAUUAGAGUGUUUAAAGCAGGCAUUUUUGCUUGAAUACAUUAGCAUGGAAUAAUAAAAUAGGACGGCAUGGUUCUAUUUUGUUGGUUUCUAGGACCACCGUAAUGAUUAAUAGGGAUAGUUGGGGGCAUUAGUAUUCAAUUGUCAGAGGUGAAAUUCUUGGAUUUAUUGAAGACUAACUACUGCGAAAGCAUUUGCCAAGGAUGUUUUCAUUAAUCAAGAACGAAAGUUAGGGGAUCGAAGACGAUCAGAUACCGUCGUAGUCUUAACCAUAAACUAUGCCGACUAGGAAUCAGAC
Molecule: ribosomal RNA, 472 nt
Filed under: uncultured Glomus
Lineage: Eukaryota; Fungi; Glomeromycota; Glomeromycetes; Glomerales; Glomeraceae
Description: SSU rRNA
Rfam family: Eukaryotic small subunit ribosomal RNA
Source: RNAcentral